Long non-coding RNA from Erinaceus europaeus (western European hedgehog), 3889 nucleotides. RefSeq lists it as uncharacterized. The record is from RefSeq and is a predicted model, not a curated record. The transcript is spliced from 6 exons. NCBI's taxonomy places the organism in Eukaryota, Metazoa, Chordata, Mammalia, Eulipotyphla, Erinaceidae.
CCAUGGAGGUGAAAGGGUAUUUUGCUGGACAGGUUUUUAGUGCAGAUGAUGAUAGACAGUGCCCUAUCGUGGGGAGAAAAGAUAUCUAUUAGAAAGGCAGUGAAGGGAACACCCAGAUUCUAGGCAGGACAGUGCAGGCUCAUCAGACUGUUUUGUGCCCCUAUGGUCAGGUUUAAGGUCAGGACCAUGCUUACCAAUUGAGCUGCUAACCCCUGAGCCUCAAAGAAGACAGAAAGGCAGCCGCUGCGGGUCUUCUGGGUGCAUGGGAAGGUCUGGACAGCAAGAACUGCAUUCUGGGUUGGCUCCACUGGAAACUGCUUUGCGAUAGGAGAUAACGGACAGAUGAUGCAGCUUGUAAACAGAUGAGACAGAGACAGGCCACAACACUGAAGCUUCACCCAGUGCUAUGGCAGCUGGGGACUUGAACCCAGGUCACACCUGUGACAAAGCAUGCACCUGACCAGAUCCGUUCCAACUGCAGGAUUAUCUAAUUCUCUGAUUAAUGAGUCGCCUUCAAGAUUCCUGCUUUACCAGCUUCACCAGGAAAUGAACUCACUGAUGCUGAGACCAGGUCAGCACAAAGGAGGCUGAGGGACCUGGGUUUUACGUUUAUGGCUGAGUCUGGUUUUCUCGAGUUUCAGAUAACUGCUCAGCUAUGGCUUAAGGUAGUACUGGGGAUUGAAACUGGACUUCUGGGUCUCAGGUAUGAGAGUCUAUUGCAUAACCACUAUGCUAUCCCCUCAGCCCUCUAGUUUGAUCUUUCGGGUGAUGGUGUAAGGUCUCUUUCUAAUUUUUCUUUCCAGUCUGUUGGAGAGUUUCCCACUGUAGUCACUUCCUUUCUUCCAGGUGAACUUAAAGAUUUCCUCAUGGAGUCUAAAAAGACAAUUUUAGGAAGCCAGGACUUCUACUGGAUUCCACUGAACCAAUGCUUAGAUCUAACAGGAAUUGAGAGAGAGAGAGAGAGAGAGAGAAAAUUGCUGCGCAGAAAUACCCUGUCUGUCAUUAUGUGCAAACACUUCUUUGCAAUAAUGCUCUCUGACCUUCAUCAUAUUAUGUCUCUGAACUCAGAAGCAGGAAUUUCUAUUUUAAUGAAAUAACUCAAGACACACUCAGUGCCCUUGGAAAUAAUAGCCCUUAGCUCCAUGGGAAUUCCUGGCUGGCUUCUGUGACUCUUCUUUGAAGGUAUAUAUUUUGCCCUAGAUUAUGGAUAUGUGUGAACAUAUGCUCUAUGUCAGGGGACCUGGUCUAUGUCUAGGUUUUGGGACUUUGUUAGGAAGUGAACCACCUGGGAUGGAAUUAGAGAAUACUAUGAAAGGAAAGGUCUCACCUGAGUAAUGAGGCUGAAGAGUUGUCAUUCCACACCUGAAGUCUCUGGACACAGUCUGAAGUGAAGCAUGCUGGAGUGGCACUCGUUGCAAGGUGGCUAUACAUAAACCAAACAAAGUAAACUUCAAGUGACACAUUAUUACCAAAGUAAGGACAUUAAAUAUUGAUGAAAAUGCUAAUUCACCAGAAAAAAAAGGAUGAUAUUAGGGUCAGUAAAAUACCUCACUCCAGAUAGUGUGCCUAUUUUGUUACCUAUGGCCCAGCUUCAAUCCCUACCUCUCUCUACGCCUGUCUCUGUCUCUCAGUCACACUCUCACUCUUUCUAUCUGGAAAAAGUUAAUUAGCCUGGAAUGGUGAAUAGUUGGUAAUGGGAUGGGAGGGGGAGGAAUUCCACAGAGGAAGAGUAGUGUUGUGUGUGAUUUUAGAUUAUAGAUGUUAUUUGGUAUGAUUUGGUUGGUUGUCCUUAGUUCCAGAAAUGCACACUUCCCCAUCUGUGGAAGUGUACAUGUCACAAUACCCAAGGAUCCAGGUUCUAGUCCCCAGUCCCCACCUGUAGUGGGGGAGGGGAGAAAGCUUCACAAUUAAUAAAGCAGUGCUGCAGUUGUCUCUCUCCCUCUCUCCCUCUCUGUCUUCCCCUCUCCUCGCAAUUUAUCACUGACUUUGUAAAUAGAUAAUACUUUUUAAAACAUUGAGUUAUAGUUACUGUUUGCUUUAUGCCACUUCAGCUUAUGCAAGUUACCCUAGGAAAGUUCUACUUUGGAAUGGCAGGGGAAAUCUGUAGCUAAAGAGAGAGAGAGAGAGAGAGAGAGAGAGAGAGAAGUGAUCAGUGGCUGAGAGUUUUAGUUUGGAGACCCCAAGAAGACCAGAUUUCAACUCAUGAUACAAUCAAUGCUGGCUUCAAAGCUCCCCUUAGUGUUAAAACAUCUGUUACUCUAAAUGUUCCCUGGCCCACAGGGCCAACACUUUGCAGGGUAUUUCUACACGAGUGUCAUGUUCCACAUGUUCAAAACUGAACUCUUCACCCUUGCCUGGAAACUUGCAUUGCCCCCUGAGGUUCAAAUUCCAAACCACCAAGGCCUCUCUGGUUCCUCUCUUCUCUUUGACACCCCUUCCCUCACCCCACGUCAAACUGGGGGUGGUGCCCACUGCAUCACUCCCAGAUGUCUCUUUUCUCUUAGGAACCCCCCUUCUCAGACCUUUGCACACAGAUAGUGACAGAAACUCUUGAGUUGACUGCUUUCUGUGAGAAUCUUAAGUGUUGAGAAAAAUCAAGAUAUGGAUGCUGGUCCUGCUGAUUGCCGGCAAGUAGGACUCAGGCAGGCCUACCAGUGCCUGAUUUCACUCAUCUGUAAAACUGGGCUGUCCAUGGUGUACUGCACUAAAGUAAAAAACUGAAAUCAGGCGGUGGUGCAGCAGGUUAUGUGCACAUGGCACAAAGUGCAAGGACCGGCAUAAGGAUCCUGGUGUGAGCCCUGGCUCCCCAUUUGCAGGGGAGUCGCUUCACAAGUGGUGAAGCAGGUCUGCCGGUGUCUAUCUUUAUCUCCCCCUCUCUGUCUACCCUCUCGGUUUCUCUCCAUCCUGUCCAACAACAACACCAGUAGCAACAAUAACAGUAAUGACAACAACAAGGGCAACAAAAUGGGACAAAAAAUGGCCUCCAGGAGAAAUGGAUUUGUAGUGCAGGCACUGAGCCCCAGCAAUAACCCUGGAGACAAAAAAGAAAGAAAGAAAGAAAGAAAGAAAGAGAAAAGAAAAGAAAAGAAAAGAAAAGAAAAGAAAAGAAAAGAAAGGAAGAGAAAAAGAAAAUAGAAAAAGAAAAACUCGUGGUCCAGGAGGUGGUGCAGUGAUAAGGCUUUGGACUCUCAAGCAUGAGGUCCUGAGUUCGAUCCCUGGCAGCACAUGUGCCAGAGUGAUGUCUGGUCCUUUCUCUCUCCUCCUAUCUUUCUCAUUAAUAAAUAAAUAAAUCUUAAAAAAAAAAAAGAGAAAAACUCUGGGGUCGGGGGGGAGGUUCAGUUUCUGGAACAUAAAGUCAGAGGACCUGGGGAGGGUUGUAUUGUUCUGUGGGAAAUGUUAUGCAUGUACAAACUAUUGUAUUUACUGUCGACUGUAAAACAUUAAUCCCCCAAUAAUGAAAUAAUAAAAAAAAGCAACUGGACUGUCCUAGUUCCUUCCUUGUGGCUUGAGAUUAAGAUGGGUGACAUGAAUUAAUUCAUACAAAGAAAUGUUAUUUGCUUGAAUAGAGCAGACCUUUUUCUAAAAUUUAUUUAUUGGGGAAUUAAUGUUUUACAUUUGACAGUAUAGAGCAGAUCUUUUAUACAGAUUGAACGUUCUCCUUAGACUGUGACCUGAGUUAUCUUUCUGUACCAUGUUUUUUUUUUUUUUUUAGGUUCAUGUAUAGUUUUUUUUGCCUCCAGGGUUAUUGCUGGGGCUCAGUGCCUGCACCAUGAAUCCACUGCUCCUGGAGGCCAUUUAUUCCCCCUUGUGUUGCCCUUGUUGUUGUAGCCUUGUUGUGGUUAUUAUUAUUGAUGUAAUUCAUUGUUGGAUAGGACAGAGAGAAAUGGAG